GUGAAGGUCAGGGGGCACAGGUGAGGGGACCCAAGUCAGGGUCAGCAGCUGAGGGGUCACAACUGAGGGGUUACAGGUGAAGGUCACAGGUGGGGGUCACACAUGAGAGGACCAGGUCAGGGGUCAGAGGUGAGGUAGUCACAGGUGAAAGUCACAGGUGAGGGGGUCACAGGUGAAGGGUCACAGGUGAGGUAGUCACAGGUGAGAGGACCCAGGUCAGGGGUCACAGGUGAGGGGUCAGCAGGUGGCAGAGGCUCAUUAGGGCUCAUUAGUGCUCAUUAGCAGGGAGGAGCUCUGGGGUCAGGAGGUGGCAGGGACUCAUUAGGCUCAUUAGUGCUAAUUAGGGCUCGUUAGGCUCAUUAGCAGGAAGGAGCCCCGAUCUUGGGGCGCUGGGGACUCGUUAGGGCGAUGGGCAGCUCAUUAAUGCUCAUUAACUGAUGAGGGCUCGUUAAGGUUUAUUGGGUGCUGGGGGACCCCAAGGUGGAGGUUAAUGAGGUCAGAGGUUAACGAGGCGGGCAGGGCUAAUGAGGUUAAUGAAAGGUAAACACGGUUAAUGAAGGGUUAACGGGGCUAACGGUUAACUCGUUAACGAGGGGUUAAUUAGGGUAAUUAGGGGCUGAUGGGACCCCCCUCCCCCCCCUCGGGCUCCCCUCCCCCGCCGGAUGUACAGAUUUUGUAGGGGGGGGAGGGGCCGGACGCGUUUUGGGGUGAAUAAAGGCGGAUUUGGUAAA
This is a non-coding RNA of Taeniopygia guttata (zebra finch), 731 nucleotides long. Lineage: Eukaryota; Metazoa; Chordata; Aves; Passeriformes; Estrildidae. The record is from RefSeq and is a predicted model, not a curated record.